CAAUAGCGAAUAUUAAAGUUGUUGCAGUUAAAAAGCUCGUAGUUGAAUUUCUGGGGGGCAUGUUGGGACCGCUUGAUUGCGCGUCCUUGACAAACUCUCCAUCCUUGUAGGGAGUGCGUUGGCCUUAAUUGGUUCGGCGUAUCGACCUGCAUCAUUUACUGUGAAAAAAUUAGAGUGUUUAAAGCAGGCUAUCGCUUGAAUACAUUAACAUGGAAUAACAAGAUAGGACAUUUGGUCUAUUUUGUUGGUUGCGACCAAACGUAAUGAUUAAUGGCGACGGUUGGGGGCCUUUGUAUUGAGGUGGAAGAGGUGAAAUUCUUGGAUUUCCUCAAGACAAACUACUGCGAAAGCACUGGCCAAGAACGCUCGCAUCAA
Molecule: ribosomal RNA, 375 nt
Filed under: uncultured eukaryote
Lineage: Eukaryota
Description: partial 18S ribosomal RNA
Rfam family: Eukaryotic small subunit ribosomal RNA
Source: RNAcentral